UGCGCCUACGUGGGAUUAGCUAGUUGGUGAGGUAAUGGCUCACCAAGGCGACGAUCCCUAGCUGGUUUGAGAGGAUGAUCAGCCACACUGGAACUGAGACACGGUCCAGACUCCUACGGGAGGCAGCAGUGGGGAAUAUUGGACAAUGGGCGCAAGCCUGAUCCAGCCAUGCCGCGUGUGUGAAGAAGGCCUUCGGGUUGUAAAGCACUUUCAGUUGGGAGGAAGCGUUGUGUGUUAAUAGUACACAGCGUUGACGUUACCAACAGAAGAAGCACCGGCUAACUCUGUGCCAGCAGCCGCGGUAAUACAGAGGGUGCAAGCGUUAAUCGGAAUUACUGGGCGUAAAGCGCACGUAGGCGGUUUUUUAAGUCAGAUGUGAAAGCCCCGGGCUCAACCUGGGAAUUGCAUUUGAAACUGGAAAACUAGAGUGUGUGAGAGGGGGGUAGAAUUCCAAGUGUAGCGGUGAAAUGCGUAGAGAUUUGGAGGAAUACCAGUGGCGAAGGCGGCCCCCUGGCACAACACUGACGCUCAGGUGCGAAAGCGUGGGGAGCAAACAGGAAUAGAUACCCUGGUAGUCCACGCCGUAAACGAUGUCUACUAGCUGUUCGUGACCUUGUGUCGUGAGUAGCGCAGCUAACGCACUAAGUAGACCGCCUGGGGAGUACGGUCGCAAGAUUAAAACUCAAAUGAAUUGACGGGGGCCCGCACAAGCGGUGGAGCAUGUGGUUUAAUUCGACGCAACGCGAAGAACCUUACCUACUCUUGACAUCCAGAGAAGACUGCAGAGAUGCGGUUGUGCCUUCGGGAACUCUGAGACAGGUGCUGCAUGGCUGUCGUCAGCUCGUGUUGUGAAAUGUUGGGUUAAGUCCCGCAACGAGCGCAACCCUUAUCCUUAGUUGCCAGCACGUAAUGGUGGGAACUCUAGGGAGACUGCCGGUGAUAAACCGGAGGAAGGUGGGGACGACGUCAAGUCAUCAUGGCCCUUACGAGUAGGGCUACACACGUGCUACAAUGGUAUGUACAGAGGGAGGCAAGCUGGCGACAGUGAUCGGAUCUCUUAAAAGCAUUAUCGUAGUCCGGAUCGCAGUCUGCAACUCGACUGCGUGAAGUCGGGAAUCGCUAGUAAUCGCAAAUCAGAAUGUUGCGGUGAAUACGUUUCCCGGGCCUUGUACACACCGCCCGUCACACCAUGGGAGUGGGUUUGCAAAANAA
RNAcentral lists this ribosomal RNA (1212 nucleotides) under uncultured Rheinheimera sp. Its description in RNAcentral is "bacterial SSU rRNA". It matches the Rfam family "Bacterial small subunit ribosomal RNA", at positions 226 to 1426 of the family's 1533-position model. Lineage: Bacteria; Pseudomonadati; Pseudomonadota; Gammaproteobacteria; Chromatiales; Chromatiaceae. The record is from RNAcentral.